RNAcentral lists this unclassified non-coding RNA (279 nucleotides) under uncultured fungus. Its description in RNAcentral is "partial contains small subunit ribosomal RNA, internal transcribed spacer 1, and 5.8S ribosomal RNA". The stretch from base 1 to 73 matches the Rfam family "Eukaryotic small subunit ribosomal RNA", at positions 1759 to 1831 of the family's 1831-position model. The record is from RNAcentral. Lineage: Eukaryota; Fungi.
GCAAACUUGGUCAUUUAGAGGAAGUAAAAGUCGUAACAAGGUUUCCGUAGGUGAACCUGCGGAAGGAUCAUUAGUGAAAUCCAAACGGUUGGCGUCCUGGCGUCUCACGAGCCAGGGCCCUUCCACCCUCACACACACCUCUGUCGAACUGUCGGGAGUUGGUUCUGCCUUCUCUCACUUUUCAAACUCCUAAGGUUUUUGAAUGAAGUUUUGGUGAAAACCAAAAAUACAACUUUCAACAACGGAUCUCUUGGCUCUCGCAUCGAUGAAGAACGCAGC